This is a long non-coding RNA of Nelumbo nucifera (sacred lotus), 4018 nucleotides long. RefSeq lists it as uncharacterized. The record is from RefSeq and is a predicted model, not a curated record. Lineage: Eukaryota; Viridiplantae; Streptophyta; Magnoliopsida; Proteales; Nelumbonaceae.
UUUUAAUUUUGAACCGCACUUUAACCGGUCUAAAACAACUUUAGACCAGAAGCCUAAAUCUUUGUUUCUCGUUCCCUUUACUCUAAAUAUUUGGAGCCCCUGAAACUCCUUAGAAAUGGCGGCAAACGGAUUGAGCAGGCUUGUGAGGAGAGGUCUCGGAGGAAGAUAUCCAGGUAUAACAUGAGCAAGCUUGUCCAUUCCAUCAUGCGUCACUUUGCAUAACCGACUCUGUUAGGAGUGGUUGGUCGGUCAUUGGAUUAUUCGUUCUCAAUCUCGGCUUUCUUCUCCGAUCUUCUAAACCAAAACCCAUUUCCACCAUCCCGGCGAUCACUUGUCCAUCUCUUCUAGUUCUUCUAUUUUGAUUGGUCUGCGAUCGAUUGCUUCGUCAUCGCCCGGUUGCUACAGGGCGGAGAUCCCGCCGGAAGAACCCAAGAAGAGAAUUAAGAAGCAAACUUCUCCGUGGAUGUCGUUGACAGACAUAAGCAACCCGGCUUCACCACUUUCGGCCGAUGAUAUCUCGAUUUCUGUCAUCGGCUCCAAUCUCCAUGCGUUUAUGCUGGCAGAGCUAAGGGAGAUCAUGCAGAGCUUCUCGUCAAGAAAUUUCCUGGGCGAGGGCGGGUUCGGCCUAGUUAACAAGGGGUUCAUCGAUGACAAUUUCAAACCUAAGUUGAAGGCGCAGGCUGUGGCUGUUAAGCUCUUGGCCUUGGAGAGCUUGCAAGGACAUCGGGAGUGGCUGGCUGAAGUUAUAUUUCUUGGGCAAUUGAGGCACCCCAAUCUCGUGAAGUUGAUCGGAUACUGCUGCGAGGACGAGCACUGACUUCUUGUAUACGAAUACAUGGUGCGAGGAAGCCUAGCUAGAGAAUCAACUCUUCAGAAAAAUUUGCAAGACAAUAGUAUCCUCAAGCUUGUUGAAGGUGAUUAUCAUGUUCUACCAUCACCAAAUCACUGUCAACAACUUUACAUUUUUUGAGGUGCUCUCCGGAAUUCUCUACAGGAUAGGCUAAGUAGGGGCUCCUUUUGGUGAUCCUUUCUUCACAACUCCAUUUCAAAGCAUGUAUGACCCGAGCAUGCUCAGACCAAAUGCAAUUCCCUUUGGAAAUUCAGAUAUGCAUCCUGUUGGAUUCAGAUAUGACCUGAACAUGCUUAGUUUCUAUAUCUAACAACUAAUGAUUGUGAAGGAAAGAUGAGAAAGAUUCAUGAAUGCAUUCGUUUCAUGAUGGUUAUAUCCAAAGCUUCUGAGGAAAUCACCCCAAAAAAAGUUAUAUUGCUCUCAAUUGAUGGGCAAGGAACUCUAAUUAUUUUCCUUAAAUGUUGCAGUACUGCUAUGUGGUGUCAUUUCAUAUGCUUGUUGUUACUAUUUCUGCACUUCUAACUUUGGUAUUUGGUGCCAGGCCCUUUGAGUUACUGUUAGUAGGCUUGUACAAGCUGCUGAUUCAGUUUUGGUAUAGUUCUCUUUAAUUAUUUUGCAAUUUUACCUUUAUUUCCCUUGUUUUUAUUCUUCCCUUUUUAAUGAAAUCUCUUCUACAUUUACCUGAUUGACGUGCAAGGUCAACAGCCUUGUGUGAACUUAUAGAAGUCGUUCCUUAAUUUUGUUUAAUGGUUCAUUUUCCCCCACUAUAUUAUAAAAUGACUUGAUUUCUGCAUCUUUAUCUCUUGAUUGAACAUGUAUACCAGGCCUGUCUGUCUAAAGGUUUGGGUGCGCCAAUUAUAUCUGUGAUUGUAGUUUCAAAGAGCUUUAUUGCCAAGGUAUUGGUGAACUACUUGCAAUUACAGUAGUGUCUUUCCUUUGUAGAAAUGGAUACCCAUGCUACAUCUCCUAUUGAGAGAAUGGGAGGAACUUGGGUACCUUCAGAGGGGCACCAUGAGAUCCUCUGAAUCAAAAAUCAAUUAGAUUAUGGUAAUUAAUUAAUGUUACUGUACCAUGCCAAAUAAGCAAAUGGAUGUAGUUGAUAUUAGUAUCGGAUCCUACAGGUUUCUAGAACCAAAGGCCCACCACAAACUAAAAGAAAGGAAAAAUAUCCAAGUCAUAGCUUGUGACAUGGAAUGCUAGAGCACUACUCAUUGGAAUUUGAUUAUUUUGUCAGUUUCCCUAACUAUAUAACUUAAACUUCAACAUAGAUUUUGACUAUAUCUUAAUAACAGACUCUUUCUACUAAGUGACCGGCCCUUUGGUAAGAUCAAGUGAUUAAUGCUUCAGCCCCAGUUGAGUCAUAAGUUAUGAACACCAAACUCUAUCCAUGGAUAUUGAGCUGUAAUACCAAAGAUUCAAAACCAUCUUACAGCAGUCGGCAUGCAACUUCGUCAUUAGAGAAAUGAAUAAUAAAUCUAAGAUUAAUUAGAAAAAUUAGGAAACCCCAUUUGGCCAUUUCAUCAAAUUGAUUAAAAAAAAAAAAGGAAAUCCAACUUUGACCGGUUUGACUGAUUGAAAGAUUUUAAUUCAUGCAUAUAAGUCAUCCUACGCUCUCCAGUUUAUAUCAAGAACAUAUGCAGGCUAUAUUAUUAAUAAAUAAUUUGCAAUUUUCACUUCACAAGGUUCAUGAUUUUCUGAUGGCAAACCCAGAUCCUUUAAUACCCAUGUAAGAUCUUACAACAUCAUAUUUUGUCGUGGAAAUUUAUAAAGUGGUCGAAUUUCUUAUGCAUUUUUUUUUUCAACCAGAAAUUGGAAGAUCUGUAGAUCACAGGUAUUAGGGCUGUUACUCUAUUUGCAUUGGCUUUGGAAAGAUUUAAAACCAAAAUGAAGUUGCAGACAAGCAAGAAAAGCUCUGAGUUCCUGGUAUCUGUUUCUGAAGAAUUUGGGUGCAGCUACAAAAUGUUGAGUCUCAGAUUAAGUCAGACUUGUAGGUGUCAUAAGACCACUAGUUUACCUUUAAUAUUUUGAUAUUGAUUGCAUGCAGCUUCAUCAUAUGAAUGAAGUAGGUGACCUUAAAGGGAGACAGGGCAUGGGUGUUAAAUUAGGAAAUUUUCAGCCACAUAAUUCUGCAAGCCAAUAUCUAGCAUAUCAUGCUUUUAUCAUAUUCUAGUUGAAAAAUAUUUGGAAAUACUAGUCAUAAUUUGGGCAAGAGACACAUAAGAACCAUGGAAUCGACCUGCCUGAGUCUUGUUUAUAUAGUUUGACAAGCUAAGUUUGUUUUCUUUAUUCCCGCAGUUCUUCAAUCCAAACAGAUCCAAAAGGUAGUGUUAUUCUGUUGUUUUUGUUGAUGUCAAACUGAUCCUCAAGCUAAUCCUAAUAAAAUCAGCAGUUAGUUACCAUAUAUUUAAGCAUUUUAUAUCAGAGCAUAAGUUUGAUAUCCACAAUUUUCCUUUUUUUUUUCAUAUACUCAUAUUUGGCUGGCUUUCCUUUCAGGGGAAAAUCUGGCAAUGAUUUUUACUGAUUUAGAAAAUAAUGGGUUAUUCAGCCUUAAGACAAUUUUCCAGUAGUGUAGACUGUAGUGUAGUUUAACCCCAAAGAAAGAUUUUGUGUUAAUGAUUUUGCUCUUGUUUAUUUCUGUUAUUUUUAUUUUGGGAAUCAUAAUCCAUUGCUCUUAUGUGUUAUUGUUGUAAUUUAUACCUGAGGAAAUAACUACCAUCAUGAAUGACUUUGCUGAACCUGGAUCACUUGCUCCAACUGGCUUACACCUUGGUGGCACAAAGUAUAUGGUGAUCCAAGGAGAACCAGAGGCUGUAUUUGAGGGAAGAAGGUGAAGGCAGGAUUCAACCUCAAGCCUCUGCAAUGUCCAGCCAUACAUUACAAGAAAGUUAGUUGGCACCUUCUAUCGAUGUGCCUAUAUAUUUUGGAUGGUCAAACAGAAGGCUGUAUUGAUAACAUGGAGAUGUUCCGGGUGCAUGGCUGAAAAGGGCUGUGAGAACGGUGUGAACACAGUUUUGCGAGGACUGAAUCUGCCCACCUUUGAUGUUGUUUGCCCUUGAUAAGUAAUGCAUUGCUAGUUCAACCAAUAUGUUAAGUGGAUUUGCAUUGGAAGAUGUGCUGCAUUAUUAGAGAAUUUGAUUAUUUUUUUUUAAGUUCUUGUACUAUUUAUAU